Drosophila virilis is the source of this 630-nucleotide long non-coding RNA. RefSeq lists it as uncharacterized. Lineage: Eukaryota; Metazoa; Arthropoda; Insecta; Diptera; Drosophilidae. The record is from RefSeq and is a predicted model, not a curated record.
UUCUUGUCCCAGCUAUAAAUACUCCAACAGAUCAGCGCUGCGGCACAGUUCUGUUUGAAGUCUUACAAAGUGAAGUAUAAAAAAAGAGUUUCCGAAAAGUCUAGAGUUUUUUAACUAAAUUAAAGCAGCUGAGCCGCCACCGGUUUCUGGUGGCGGCUGACCCAGCUGAGAAUCUCUAAAGUACAGUCUUUAACCACGUGUAAAGUAAACCAGUUGAAUGCUGUCUCAGGUCUUCUGGACAAAAUUAAAGUCGAAUAUACGAAAAUUUCAUCUCAAAUGGAACGCUAUAAAUGAUUCUUUAAAUGUUAGCAAGAGGAAAGAAAACUAUGCUACAUAAAACAAACAAAAAAUAAAAUAUUUGAAUUUGCGGAACAUGGAAACAUUAUCAUCUCCAAGCCAUCUUUACAAACCAUUCUAUGAAUCCAUAUCGAAAGAAUGCAAAAAAUCAUUGAAUAAAUAGAACUCUUGAAAAAAUAUUCUUAAAGAUAAGAUACCAACUAAAUGUUCUUCGCUUCAAUUCAACUUUUUAUGUAAAGAAUAAUGUCAAAGAGAAUGUCUGAAGAUUUGGAACGCUUUUUAUAUAAUGUCAAAAGAAAAUCUAAAGAUUCUUAAUAUCAGCUAAACCCAUAA